This 231-nucleotide long non-coding RNA is filed under the name Mytilus galloprovincialis (Mediterranean mussel). The record is from RNAcentral. Lineage: Eukaryota; Metazoa; Mollusca; Bivalvia; Mytilida; Mytilidae.
GUUGUAAAUUUUUAAAGCGUAUAAACUAUACGACAUCAUAUUCCAAAUAUCUAAGCGACAUCUUUUGAAACAUCAAUACUACGCAAGAAAAAAAUUUAGGCGGAAGAAAAAAAAAUAAUAAUAAUCAGAACAAAUUCAAUAGGUCUUUCCACGGAAAGGUGGAAAGACCUAAUAAUCAGAACAAAACCUAUAGGUCUUUCCACGGAAAGGUGGAAAGACCUAAUUAUGAUC